UUACAGUGAUUUCAUGUUUCAAAGGAACUUUCACAAUGAAAUGGGGCUUAUUCACUCUCAAUUAUGCUGAAUUAUCCCCAUUAACUAGCCCUCUUGGGGGGGGGGAUGAUUUAGGAAAUUAUUUAAGAAAGGUUACUUGUUAUUGAUUUGAGACACAAUCCACACAAUGAGUCAAUGUUUGUAUUCAUUUAUUUGAAUUAAACUGUAAGAAAAAGGUUAAAAUUAAAUCAAUAUGGCAUAAUCAAUGAGCAGCUCAUGUGUAUGAUACAUUGCAUUUUGCUCUAAUUCAAUAUUUGCUGCCGCAGCGAGGUCGCCUGAGCGACCGAGCAAGGCAGCAGUCCUAAAUUUGAAAUAGCGUGCGAAAUCUUGAUUUUUGCCAAGAGCGAUGCAUUGUGGUCACACUUUUCGCAGUUCUUUUUUCAACCAUAAUGCAUUUCGGUUCUUUGAAUAAAACCUUCGUGGUCGCAAUUGUUUGCUCUUUCACGUCUACGUUUCAAAGACCAAGGUAAGCCUAUUUAUUCCCUUGUCAAACAUUUACACAAUUAUACUCGUGUGGUAAACAUGCAGUCGUAUCCUUUUAGAUUGUAAUACACUGGCGUCGUCUGGAGUUUAACUUUAGGUUUUGAUAUACUGGCAGAACGUUUCAACGAAAACAUACUAUAUAAAAAAGGGUUUUAAUAUACUGGCAGAACUAUACUGUGCUAUUUCAGGAUGGCACAUCCACGACCACCCUAUUGCAGCUGUUUGACGACAAACUACAGCAAUUAUUCAACAUCUACAAAGAGCAAAACAUGCACUUGCGAUACCGAGUUUGAGGGAACUGACGACGAAAUUCUUUUAACUGUUGAGGCGAAAGUACUCUUUAACAACAAAAGAAAUGUUGUCUCCAUAGAGAAGCUUUCUACUUCAUAACAUAUAUAUACAGCAUGCUUAUAUAAACUAUAUUCUUUAGACGGUCAACAUUAGAUUGUGCAUGACUUUGUAGCCGAAAACAUUUCAGCCAUUCUUACCACUUUUUAGAAGUUUUGCAUGUACUGUUCUGUUAUCUUUGUUCUGUUAUCUUUGUUCUGACAUUUUAAAUUCCACAGAAACGCUCUUUAGUGUAAAUAUUUUUUCUAUGAAUAGAAUGUUUCUCCAAUGCCUUACUAUUUAACCAUUUAUAUAAAUUACUUUAGGCAGAAACACUAAAUAUAACUGUAUUGUUGUUUUUCAAGAUUAUGCGGCGAACUAUAAACGUAUCUUUACCCCUUAGUUCGGUAUUAGGCAGAUUUAAAAAGACCUCACGGUCGUCAAAUGUCAACUUAAAAAUGACGUUCUAUCUCCAUGCAAGCAUACGUUUUUGGCGUCUAUAUAAAUCUGCUUAACAUAAUGAUAAGUACAAUUUUUUGUCUUAUUUCUGUGACAACUCUGUGUUUUGCUAUUGAAGGCAGCAUUACUACCCUUAGGGUAAC
Dendronephthya gigantea is the source of this 1451-nucleotide long non-coding RNA. RefSeq lists it as uncharacterized. The record is from RefSeq and is a predicted model, not a curated record. The transcript is spliced from 3 exons. NCBI's taxonomy places the organism in Eukaryota, Metazoa, Cnidaria, Anthozoa, Malacalcyonacea, Nephtheidae.